UUCCCGUGAAGAUCACCGAAGUCAAGCAUCAUUGGGCGCGGUCAGUACUUGGGUGGGUGACCACCUGGGAACGC
Molecule: non-coding RNA, 74 nt
Organism: Caerostris extrusa
Lineage: Eukaryota; Metazoa; Arthropoda; Arachnida; Araneae; Araneidae
Source: the annotation of a GenBank genome assembly